UACGAAGGGGGCUAGCGUUGCUCGGAAUCACUGGGCGUAAAGGGUGCGUAGGCGGGGCUUUAAGUCAGGGGCGAAAUCCUGGAGCUCAACUCCAGAACUGCCUUUGAUACUGAAGAUCUUGAGUUCGGGAGAGGUGAGUGGAACUGCGAGUGUAGAGGUGAAAUUCGUAGAUAUUCGGAAGAACACCAGUGGCGAAGGCGGCUCGCUGGCCCGAUACUGACGCUGAGGCACGAAAGCGUGGGGAGCAAACAGG
This 253-nucleotide ribosomal RNA is filed under the name uncultured bacterium. Its description in RNAcentral is "partial 16S ribosomal RNA". It matches the Rfam family "Bacterial small subunit ribosomal RNA", at positions 524 to 776 of the family's 1533-position model. The record is from RNAcentral.